CGCUAUCAUCAUUAACUUUAUUUAUUACCGUCAUUCAUCUCUGAAUGUCUGUUUACCCCUAUUUUGGACCGGAUGCUUGCAUCCGGUUUUUUUU
Buttiauxella agrestis ATCC 33320 is the source of this 94-nucleotide non-coding RNA. It matches the Rfam family "MicF RNA". From Rfam's summary of the family: The micF gene is a stress response gene found in Escherichia coli and related bacteria that post-transcriptionally controls expression of the outer membrane porin gene ompF. The micF gene encodes a non-translated 93 nt antisense RNA that binds its target ompF mRNA and regulates ompF expression by inhibiting translation and inducing degradation of the message. Lineage: Bacteria; Pseudomonadati; Pseudomonadota; Gammaproteobacteria; Enterobacterales; Enterobacteriaceae. The record is from Rfam.